RNAcentral lists this long non-coding RNA (1029 nucleotides) under Homo sapiens (human). Its description in RNAcentral is "HSALNT0342096". Lineage: Eukaryota; Metazoa; Chordata; Mammalia; Primates; Hominidae. The record is from RNAcentral.
ACGGAGUGCCCUGGCACCGGUGCCCGCGGCUGUGACGGAAAAAGGGUGGGAAGAACAGGGAAGAGGAAGCAGAAACAGGCACUCCUUGAUGAAAUAAGUAAGAAAGCUUGUCAAGAGCCAUCACUCUUGCUCAUGGGACAAGAGAAGGCACUGACCUGUGCCCACCAGCACCCCAUCACUGAGCCAACACCACCUUCAGGAAGACAGUCUCCAGCAGGGCUUCCCCCAAUUCCCCUAGCUGCUUUGCCUCUGCUACUCCGGUAAGCACCUGCAGGGAGGCAGGCACCCCAGCACCCACUAGCAUUCUGCAACAGCUGUUGCACCUUGGCUCCCCCAGUACAGUGGAUUCCAAACCUCAAGGAGUCAAAGAACAGAUGGGGCCCAAUACAAAUUCCCCAGAAUUACAACAUGCCGUCCAGGAGUUGAGAGCUGAGUGUUGACCUUCUAAAAUCUCCCAGAAACAAAGCCAGGUGGCUGAAUCCACCUUAUAUUAUAGUCAAACCCUCAAGGUCAUCAAAUCAUCAAAUAGGAUAAAAGAAAAAAAAAUCCAAAGGUCAGCAACAUCCAAGAUUGAAGACAGAUAAGCUCACAAAGAUGAGAAAGAGUCAGCACAGGAAAACUGAAAACUCGAAAAACCAGAGUGCCCUCUUUCCUACGAACAGCCACAUCACCUCUCCAGCAAAGGUUCUGAACUGAGCUGAGAUGGCCAAAAUGACAGAAAUAGAAUUCAGAAUAUGGAUAAGAAUGAAGAUCAUUGAGCUACAGGAGUAUGUUGAAACCCAAUGCAAGGAAGUGAAAAAUCAUGAUAAAACAAUGCCAGAGCUGACAGACAAUAAUGGACAGUAUAGAAAAGACUGUAACUGGCCUGAUAGAGUCAAAAAAUAUAAUACAAGAAUUUCAUAAUGCAAUCACAACUAUUAAUAGCAGAAUAUAACAAGUGGAUGAAUGAAUCAGAGCUUAAAGAAUGGCUUUCUGAAAUAAGACAAUCAGACAAGAAUAGAGAAAAAAGAAAAAAAGGAAAGAACAAAA